RNAcentral lists this ribosomal RNA (468 nucleotides) under uncultured bacterium. RNAcentral describes it as "partial 16S ribosomal RNA". It matches the Rfam family "Bacterial small subunit ribosomal RNA", at positions 28 to 507 of the family's 1533-position model. The record is from RNAcentral.
GACGAACGCUGGCGGCGUGCUUAACACAUGCAAGUCGAACGGAAAGGCCCUGCUUUUGUGGGGUGCUCGAGUGGCGAACGGGUGAGUAACACGUGAGUAACCUGCCCUUGACUUUGGGAUAACUUCAUGAAACUGGGGCUCAUACCGGCUAGGAGCUCCUGCUGCAUGGUGGGGGUUGGAAAGUUUCGGCGGUUGGGGAUGGACUCGCGGCUUAUCAGCUUGUUGGUGGGGUAGUGGCUUACCAAGGCCUUGACGGGUAGCCGGCCUGAGAGGGUGACCGGCUACAUUGGGACUGAGAUACGGCCCAGACUCCUACGGGAGGCAGCAGUGGGGAAUAUUGCACAAUGGGCGGAAGCCUGAUGCAGCAACGCCGCGUGCGGGAUGACGGCCUUCGGGUUGUAAACCGCUUUCGCCUGUGACGAAGCGUGAGUGACGGUAAUGGGUAAAGAAGCACCGGCUAACUACGUG